UACGAAGGGGGCUAGCGUUGCUCGGAAUCACUGGGCGUAAAGGGCGCGUAGGCGGCUAAUUUAGUCGAGGGUGAAAGCCUGUGGCUCAACCACAGAAUUGCCUUCGAUACUGGUUGGCUUGAGACCGGAAGAGGACAGCGGAACUGCGAGUGUAGAGGUGAAAUUCGUAGAUAUUCGCAAGAACACCAGUGGCGAAGGCGGCUGUCUGGUCCGGUUCUGACGCUGAGGCGCGAAAGCGUGGGGAGCAAACAGG
RNAcentral lists this ribosomal RNA (253 nucleotides) under uncultured bacterium. Its description in RNAcentral is "partial 16S ribosomal RNA". It matches the Rfam family "Bacterial small subunit ribosomal RNA", at positions 524 to 776 of the family's 1533-position model. The record is from RNAcentral.